AGACAUGCUUCAAACUUUUAUUUUGGGCAUCAAAUCCAGCACCCGUCAAAAACUUCUCAGAGGCCCAGCCUUCUUGGAGGUCCAAAUCUGAUAUGGACACACCCAGCUACAAUUUUUUCUUUUCUUUUUUUUCUUCAAUCCUCCUCCUUUUUUUUUUUUCGUGCUUCGUCAGUUCGUCUUAUCCCAAACCGAGUGGAACAUGAGCUUGACAUUGAUCUCCUGCGGGGUGGAAUUGGAGAUGGAUUUGAAGACACAAUCUGACUUGAAGGAGUUGAAAUUGGGGGCUGGAAUAGAACCCGUGUGGAAGACGAGAUCGUGGCCGGCUUCACAGGAGCAGAAAUUCCAACGUCCUGCUGCAAUUGGCUUCUGGGAGAAUUUCGUGUAUAAGGCGAGGACAGCAGCUGCAGUUAAGAUCCCAGAGUAUCAAUUUGAGGGACAGUUUGACGUGCAGGUGUAAACAAAAGCAGUAAUUAUCAGAGCCUCAAAGGCCUUUCGAAGCUUUAUUUUUUAAAGGUGGCCGGAGACGAGAACGACGACUAUAGUGUAGCCAAGUUUCAGACCUCCUGGAUUUAAACUCAAGGAAUUUCGUUUAUUAUUUUAUAUUGAACCAAGACCCUUUACGGAAGAGAGGCCUGGAUGGUGAUUCACAAAGUACCCUCUGCCAGUUUUGGUGUAUUAAACUGCUGAAACAUGAGGAUGAUAACGGCACCCUAAGGCACGCCGUGUCAAAGUUCUGAAAACAGUAUUGGCACCGUAAGGCACCGCCACCGGAGCUUUGAAAGCAGUUUCGGCACCCUAAGGCACGCCAAGUUGAAGUUCUGAAACAGUAUUGGCACCGUAAGGCACCACCACCGGAGCUUCGAAAGUAGUUUCGUCACCCUAAAGCACGCCGAAUGAAGCUCUGAAACAGUAUUGGCACCGAAAGGUACCGCCACCGGAGCUUUGAAACUGGUAAAACCAUAAAGAGAUGCAGACAGAUUCUCCACCUUUGAUUCCUAUUGAACACGCUGCGGCUUCUUCUCCGUCUCCUUUGCUUUCCUUCUCCUUCUGCUUCUGUUUUUUUUCUGUUUUUUUGUGGCACGGCCCUCUUGUCCUCUUAUAUAAUGCACUGAUGAUCUAAUUGAGUUCUAUAGAGCCUCUUGUGUUUGAUA
RNA transcript from Rosa rugosa (rugosa rose), 1151 nucleotides. RefSeq lists it as uncharacterized. NCBI's taxonomy places the organism in Eukaryota, Viridiplantae, Streptophyta, Magnoliopsida, Rosales, Rosaceae. The transcript has 5 exons. The record is from RefSeq and is a predicted model, not a curated record.